UACAGAGGGUGCGAGCGUUAAUCGGAAUUACUGGGCGUAAAGGGUGCGUAGGCGGACAGAGAAGUUAGAUGUGAAAUCCCCGGGCUUAACCUGGGAAGGUCAUUUAAUACUUUUUGUCUGGAGUAUAGUAGAGGGGAGUGGAAUUUCCGGUGUAGCGGUGAAAUGCGUAGAUAUCGGAAGGAACACCAGUGGCGAAGGCGACUCUCUGGGCUAUUACUGACGCUGAGGCACGAAAGCGUGGGGAGCAAACAGG
This 253-nucleotide ribosomal RNA is filed under the name uncultured bacterium. Its description in RNAcentral is "partial 16S ribosomal RNA". It matches the Rfam family "Bacterial small subunit ribosomal RNA", at positions 524 to 776 of the family's 1533-position model. The record is from RNAcentral.